RNAcentral lists this transfer RNA (64 nucleotides) under Serratella sp. Liaoning-2019. RNAcentral's name for it is "tRNA-His". The record is from RNAcentral. Lineage: Eukaryota; Metazoa; Arthropoda; Insecta; Ephemeroptera; Ephemerellidae.
ACUUAAGUAGUUUAAUAAAAAUUUUGGCUUGUGGCGCCAAGGAUAUAAGUAGUUAUUUUAAGUC